AUUGAACGCUGGCGGCAGGCCUAACACAUGCAAGUCGGACGGUAGCACAGGGGAGCUUGCUCCUCGGGUGACGAGUGGCGGACGGGUGAGUAAUGUCUGGGGAUCUGCCCGAUAGAGGGGGAUAACCACUGGAAACGGUGGCUAAUACCGCAUAAUGUCGCAAGACCAAAGAGGGGGACCUUCGGGCCUCUCACUAUCGGAUGAACCCAGAUGGGAUUAGCUAGUAGGCGGGGUAACGGCCCACCUAGGCGACGAUCCCUAGCUGGUCUGAGAGGAUGACCAGCCACACUGGAACUGAGACACGGUCCAGACUCCUACGGGAGGCAGCAGUGGGGAAUAUUGCACAAUGGGCGCAAGCCUGAUGCAGCCAUGCCGCGUGUAUGAAGAAGGCCUUCGGGUUGUAAAGUACUUUCAGCGGGGAGGAAGGCGAUGUGGUUAAUAACCGCGUCGAUUGACGUUACCCGCAGAAGAAGCACCGGCUAACUCCGUGCCAGCCGCCGCCGUAA
Molecule: ribosomal RNA, 506 nt
Filed under: uncultured bacterium
Lineage: Bacteria
Description: partial 16S ribosomal RNA
Rfam family: Bacterial small subunit ribosomal RNA
Source: RNAcentral